Mytilus californianus (California mussel) is the source of this 177-nucleotide long non-coding RNA. RefSeq lists it as uncharacterized. The transcript is spliced from 4 exons. The record is from RefSeq and is a predicted model, not a curated record. NCBI's taxonomy places the organism in Eukaryota, Metazoa, Mollusca, Bivalvia, Mytilida, Mytilidae.
CUCCUAUACAACCUACACCUUUAGCCUAAAACAAUAAGGUAAAUCUCCUAUACAACCUACACCUUUAGCCUAAAACAAUAAGGUAAAUCUCCUAUACAACCUACACCUAUAGCCUAAAACAAUAAGGUAAAUCUCCUAUACAACCUACACCUUUAGCCUAAAACAAUAAGGUAAAUC